ACAGGGAUUGCCCCAGUAACGGCGAGUGAAGCGGCAACAGCUCAAAUUUGAAAUCUGGCCUUUUCGCCCUACUUGUUAUUUGUUGAGGAUGCUUCUGGCGACGUCUGCCUUCCGAGUCCCCGGAACGGGCCGCCGGAGAGGGAGAGAGCCCCGCCCGGUGGGACACCUACCCUAUGUGAAGCUCCUUCCACCAGUCGAGUAGUUUGGGAAUGCUGCUCUAACUGGGAGGGAAAUUCCUCCUAACUCUAAAUACCGGCCAGAGACAGAUAGCGCACACGUAGAGUGAUCGAAAGAUGAAAAGCACUUUGGAAAGAGGGUUAAUCAGUACGUGCAAUUGCUUAUAGGGAAGCGCUUGCGACCGAAAUCAGGCCUGGCGGAUCAUCCGGCGUUCUCUCCGGUGCAUUUCGUCACGCCUGGGCCAGCAUCGGUUCUGCUGGGGGGACAAAAGUGGGGGAAACGUAGCUCCUUCCGGGGAGUGUUAUAGUCCCCGGCAUAACCCCUCCGGCGGCACCGAGGACCGCGCUAACGCAAGGAUGCGGGAGUAAUGGUAGUCAGCCACCCGUCUUGAAACACGGACCAAGGAGUCAAACAACUGUGGGAGUGGGUGGGCGUCCCAACCCUCACGCGCAAAGAAAGUGAAGGGAGGUGGGAGCCUGGGCGCACCAUCGACCGAUCCGGAAGUCUUCGGAAGGAUUUGAGUAGGAGCACAGCUGUUCGGACCCGAAAGAUGGUGAACUAUGCUUGGAUAGGGUGAAGCCAGAGGAAACUCUGGUGGAGGCUCGCAGCNGGUUCUGACGUGCAAAUCGAUCGUCGAAUAUGGGCAUGGGGCGAAAGAC
RNAcentral lists this ribosomal RNA (836 nucleotides) under Lulworthia atlantica. RNAcentral's name for it is "eukaryotic LSU rRNA". It matches the Rfam family "Eukaryotic large subunit ribosomal RNA", at positions 68 to 931 of the family's 3401-position model. The record is from RNAcentral. Lineage: Eukaryota; Fungi; Ascomycota; Sordariomycetes; Lulworthiales; Lulworthiaceae.